Molecule: long non-coding RNA, 1507 nt
Filed under: Struthio camelus australis
Lineage: Eukaryota; Metazoa; Chordata; Aves; Struthioniformes; Struthionidae
Description: lncRNA (ENSSCUG00000000447.1)
Source: RNAcentral
CUGAAAAGCAUUUGGAAGUCACACCUAGAAGGAUGCUGGCACCUGUGCUGCUACCAUUCUCCACGCCGGCUCAUGAUUCCUUCUCGGCUCAUGACCCACUCUGGAGUCCUUCCAAAUCAGGGAUUGCCAGCAGGUCAAGAUGAGCCCACAAGUAUCUCUGUGAUAGUGAAAGCUAUGAGAACUAAAGGCUAAGCCAUGAGGUGGAUACUCUGCAAAGGUGGUAUUGUGAAGAUCUGUUGCUCUUACAAAUGGCUAUUUAGAAUUGGAAAGAGAAUAAAGCUCUUGCAAGCACAACAGAUACUUUGGGGAAGACACCCUGGGGAAGACAGCCUGCAGUUCCCAUGUAAGAAGAAAUUGCUAUUUCAUCAUAAAUAUGUGAAAACAGGACAACUAAGCCACCUUAACAGGAUAUAUUACAGACAACAUCUUCUUUCAAGAAGUAGGUGUGUUAUACUGAAGAUUCUGCAUUUACAAUCUAUACAGCAAUCAUACACUAAUGGAAUAUAGAAGGGAAGUGUUUGGAUGUGUGUAAUUGUAUCUACUGAUUUCAUAUUUGAUCCUGAGGAAGCACUUUGGUGCUUGUAAACAGAGCUAAAUUCUUUGGAGGAGAAAGGACUGUGACCAAAUCCUAGCACAAAGCACAAGAGCUCAGGAAGGGGGAAGACACAGGAGUGAAGUUCGUCUAUGUGGCAAAAGGUAUUUUCUCUGAAACCUCUGCAGCUGGCACAUGAGAAAGAAAGAAUCUCUCUCUAUAUAUAUAUCACUCUAUCCUAGAAUCAUUCUCUGAAGGAAAACAGAAAUCAUUCUGGGGAGUGUUUGGGUAACUGUGAGUAAACUUGAUUCAAAGCUUGAAAUGAUUCCUUCUAGCUUCAGAGGACAGAGUUGGCUUUAUUUGCUGAAGCCAGAUCCUGUAAAUCUUAAUAGCCAGCGAUUCUUUAUAUGACCAAACUUUUGCAAGGGUUGAGACCUACUAUCAUAAUUAAAACUGGCAACUUUGAAAUUUUGGUAAACUAUGGACCUGCCUCUCAACCUGUCCCUGGCAUGGACUGAGAUGCCAUCUGUGGCCCUGCAACAUAACUUUAUUGGGAAAGGUAACAUUCUAGUGAAUUACCGAAAGUCUCAGGUCUAAAGCUGAAAUCAACAGAUAUGACUUCACUGAACUUUAGAAACAGCUACAGUCUAAGGUGUUUUGAGCUCAGCUUCAAAGCUGUGCCAUGAUAGCCCUGGUGAGCCCUAAACAGAAGAAGGGCUAUUUUCCCUGAGCCAUGGAAAUUCCCCUCCCAUUCCUCUUGCUUGUAAUUGUCGCACCAGCAAAGCUGGUUCUUUUGGCCUGGUUUAUUUCCCCUGGAAAGUUUUUCUAAUAUACUGAUACAAAAAUGCCUUAAGAACAACUGUACCUUGUUAGACCAAGGGUACUUCCAACUCAACAUCUUCUCUUCAGCAGUAACCGAGAGCAAGUAUAAACUGCCACUACCCUAGAGCGCUUCUCUUCCUUUCCUAGCCUUUA